Carcharodon carcharias (great white shark) is the source of this 2137-nucleotide long non-coding RNA. RefSeq lists it as uncharacterized. The transcript has 2 exons. NCBI's taxonomy places the organism in Eukaryota, Metazoa, Chordata, Chondrichthyes, Lamniformes, Lamnidae. The record is from RefSeq and is a predicted model, not a curated record.
CAGGACAACUCCCAGAGAACCCGGGGAGUGGUCAGGGGGUCUGAGGUCGUAAAGAGGAAACAAGUUAGGCGUCAAGGGCUGCUGACGACCAUGACAUCUUUUCUGUGAUGGCAGAAUGGACACACUCUGCUGGUCCAAUUCAUGGUGGGCCCCGGCAUACUGGGAAUGACCUCCUCCUGCCCAUCUUGAACAUCUGCACAUGAAAGGGCUACAGGCAGAUCGGAUUUGGAAUAUCUGGACAGAAUGGAUUGUCCUGUGUGUUUUCAGCCCGGCAUUUCGGCCCUAAUGUUCCUGCUUCCUUUGGGUCACCGAGGUCACCUCAAAUAGGCCUUUAGGAGAAAGAUUACCAGCAAGGAGAUCGAGGUGUUUUGCCCCCCUCUCACUUAACCACUUCUAGAAAACAGCCAUUGUCAUAGCGAUGGUGUCCAGGUCCUCGCGCAUAUCCGGCAGAAACUCCAUGGCGUCCACCACCCUUCCCAUGGAGACUGCCAUGUACUCACAUAUCGGAGACACAGCAUCAGAAAGCACACGGACAUUCUCGUCAUUCUCCCGUGCCACUCUGUUGACGGAAUCUGAAUCCACAGAAUGAUGUUUCUUUGAGUCUUUCUGAAAAUCCCACAUAUUGUCCAUGACCACAUCCAGAGGCUCAUCAUCGGACUCGGCUUUAGCAGGUACCUGCUCUCCAGCAGCCCUUUGCGUACCAGAGAGCUUGGCCGUCCCUGCCUGCGCCUGCUGUGGACACGUAUGUGCGUAAUGAGCACAAGAGGGUGAGCCGGAGCCGGGUUCAAUGAUCCAUCCGUUUGUGUGAUUGUGCUGGGGGCGGCUGCAGGAGAAUAUUGGGGCUGCUUUGCUGUUUUGAAUUCAUCCUCCUCAUCUUCCUCCGAGGUGUCCUGGGAAUGGAGCUUUCUUCUGAUAACAACUGUGGGCUCUGUUCCUUCCUCCUGACACUUGGAAUGAAGAAAAGAUAGAUCAGGAGUGCCUGCACUGGCCCACACAUUGUACACUUUAAUCAUCUUGAUUGGCAUAACAUCUCACAAUAUUAUUUAUAUUUCAUUUAUGGGAUGUGUGAAUCGUUGGCCAGUCAAUAAUAUAUUGCCCAUCCCUCCUUGUCCUUUAAGAGGUGGAAGGAACUGUCUUGUACAACAAUCACUUAAAGCACACAAGCAGAUAGUGCAGGCAUAUCAGAAGGCACAUAGAAUGUUGUCCCUUAUUGAGAGAGGAGUUGGGUACAGGAGCAAGGAAGCCUUUCUGCAGCUGUACGGGGCCUUGGUCAGUCCACACCUGGAGUAAUGUGUGUAGUUUUGGUAUCCCUUUCUGAGAAUGUAUAUACAUGCCAUUAAGGGAGAGCAGCGAAAGUUUUGCAGGCUCAUUCCAAAGAUAAGUUGCCCAAUGAGGGCAAAUAGAGUGGAGUGGGCAUGAAUUUGCUUUAUUUUAGAAGCAGAAGAGGGGAUCUUGUUGAUAAAUGUAAAAUUCAGACAGGGAUGGACAGACUGAAUCCAGGGAUGAUGCUUCCUCUGGCUGGGGUUAAAGGGGUUGUGCGGGUGAUGUGUGCAUCAGAACAAAGUGUCAAAAUCUCAGAUAACAGCCCAGGCCAUUUAGCGCUUUGAUGAGGAGGAACCUGUUCAUUCAGAGCAUGGUGAACUCAUGCAAUUCUAUUCCACCGACGGCUUUUGAGACAAGUCAGUGAAUAUAUUUAAGAGGGAAAUAGAGAGAUUUCAAGACUUGUAAAGGCCUCAAUGGGUAUGGUGAGGGAGCGGGAAUAUUGCGUGUAGAAAGAGGAUCAGCCAUGACUGUAUUGGAUGGCACAGCAGGCUGGAAGGCUAAACUAAUUUACUGAUUCUCCAAUUUUCUAUGCUCCUAUAUUUCUGGUCUUAUGGUCUGCUGCACGAACAAAUGAAAAUUUGGCAGCACAAUAAGUGUGCAUAUUGCCUCAUUCCAUUGGGCCAACUACAGAUGACGUCAAAGCAAACCAUUGAUUAAUCACACUCCAAAUUCUUUGAAUCUUUAAAAAUGUUUCUCACUUUUUCGCAUCCUGAAAAGCAACAAGGUGAACGAAAGGCCCAAAUUAAACAUCAAUGUCUCGCAGACUGGGGCAACAGUCGAUUCCUUGAUCAAUAAAAUGCUCCAUUUGGCUAAA